Molecule: microRNA, 22 nt
Filed under: Anolis carolinensis (green anole)
Lineage: Eukaryota; Metazoa; Chordata; Lepidosauria; Squamata; Anolidae
Description: Aca-Mir-92-P2a_5p* (star (passenger))
Source: RNAcentral
ACUGUUGCUAAUGUGCAACUCU